UACGGAGGAUCCGAGCGUUAUCCGGAAUUAUUGGGUUUAAAGGGUGCGUAGGCGGCCAUUUAAGUCAGCGGUGAAAUUUUGCAGCUUAACUGUAACAGUGCCGUUGAUACUGUUUGGCUAGGAUUUGGUUGUAGUGUGUGGAAUGUGUGGUGUAGCGGUGAAAUGCUUAGAUAUCACACAGAACACCGAUUGCGAAGGCAGCACACUAAGUCAUUAUUGACGCUGAGGCACGAAAGUGUGGGGAUCAAACAGGAUUAGA
RNAcentral lists this ribosomal RNA (259 nucleotides) under uncultured prokaryote. RNAcentral describes it as "partial 16S ribosomal RNA". It matches the Rfam family "Bacterial small subunit ribosomal RNA", at positions 524 to 782 of the family's 1533-position model. The record is from RNAcentral.